AACUAUAUCGCAAGAAUAUGAUAGAGGACAAUGGAAUUCCAUGUGUAGCGGUGAAAUGCAUAGAUAUAUGGAGGAACACCAAUUGCGAAGGCAGUUGUCUGGGUCAUUAUUGACGUUGAGGCUCGAAAGCAUGGGUAGCAAAUGGGAUUAGAUACCCUAGUAGUCCAUGCCGUAAACGAUGAAUACUAGUUAUUAGAUGUUAAGUCUAGUGAUUGAGCUAACGCAUUAAGUAUUCCACCUGAGUAGUACAUUCGCAAGAAUGAAACUUAAAGGAAUUGACGGGGACCCGCACAAGCGGUGGAGCAUGUGGUUUAAUUCGAAGAAACGCGAAAAACCUUACCUGGAUUUGACAUCCCUUGCAAAGCUAUGGAAACAUAGUGGAGGUUAUCAAGGUGACAGGUGGUGCAUGGUUGUCGACAGUUCGUGUCGUGAGAUGUAUGGUUAAGUCCCAUAACGAGCGCAACCCUCAUCCUUAUUUGUUAACAUUUAGUUGAGAACUAUAAGGAAACUGCAGUCGUAAGAUUGAGGAAGGUGGGGAUGACGUCAAAUCAUCAUGCCCCUUAUAUUCAGGGCUACACACGUGCUACAAUGGUUGAGACAAAGGGAAGCUAACCCGUGAGGGGGUGCAAAUCUCAUCAAACUCAAUCUCAGUUUGGAUCGAAGUCUGCAAUUCGACUUCGUGAAAUUGGAAUCGCUAGUAAUCGCAGAUCAGCAAUGUUGCGGUGAAUACGUUCUCGGGUCUUGUACACACCGCCCGUCAUC
Molecule: ribosomal RNA, 762 nt
Filed under: uncultured bacterium
Lineage: Bacteria
Description: bacterial SSU rRNA
Rfam family: Bacterial small subunit ribosomal RNA
Source: RNAcentral